Molecule: long non-coding RNA, 35628 nt
Filed under: Citrus sinensis (sweet orange)
Lineage: Eukaryota; Viridiplantae; Streptophyta; Magnoliopsida; Sapindales; Rutaceae
Description: long non-coding RNA (CSIN_LNC005351)
Source: RNAcentral
UGCAAUUGGCAUUUGAAUUGAAAUUUACAUUCAUCAAUAUGAAAACUAUUACAUUGCAAUGAACAAUUUAAAAAUUAUUACAUUGUUUGAAACUUAUUACAUUGUUUACCAACUACAAAUAAUUUAUAAUCUGAUAUAUAGUAACAGCACAAUCUUCCAACACAUGUUUAUUGCUUCGCGGAUUCUUUCUUUCGGUAAUCGAAAUGAGGUCUUCUAUUAUUGUUUCCAUGUUCCAAUUUGACAUUUGCUCUGAUUAUUUAGUUUUGACCCACAUACAUGCUUUGGUUUAUUGUAAGUCAUCCGGCAGCAUUCAAGACAUGCACAAUAAAAAAACUGAUAAAAUUUACAUGCUGCAAUCUACAUAGUUUCCUAAUGGCAUAUAAAUGCAUGCAAGACAAGNNNNNNNNNNNNNNNNNNNNNNNNNNNNNNCAAAUGAGCCCUAAAAGUAAAAAGAAAAAGAAAGUGCAUGAAUGUAGUAUAUCUAACAGCAAAGAUCUCUUGUGACACUUUUUAAAAUAUAAAGAUUAAACAAAUACUUAAACAAAAAUAUAUAGAUUAAACAAAUAUUUACCAAAAUUGAGACAUGAAGCUAUAUAAUUAUUUGCAGCUAUCUUGCGGAUAGGUUCGUAUAACCUUAAUAAUUUUUUAAUGGCAGCAUAUAAGUUGGAUCAUCUCCAACAUAUAGUAGCUGCCUUCUUGACCGUCAAAUGUAUGUGAGAAGAAUCCAAAAUGGUAACCAAUAAUAGUGAGACACGUGUGAUGAAGAUUUCGUCCAAAAAGAAUAAAUUCUUAAAAAGAUUAUCUUGAAAUUUUUCUAAAAAAAUAUUUUGAUAUAUUUAACAAAAUAAAACUAAAAAUAAAAAUUAUUUAAAUUAUGAUUUAUAUUUCAUUAAUAUUAUUGAGGUUGAUUCUUAAUUUUCAAGAUAUAAUAGUUAAUAUUUAUUAAACACUUUAGUAUUAUAGUUUAAAAAUUACAGUUUCCCAAGCUUAAUUCUAAAUGAAACCUUAAUUAGAAGUUUAUGUAAAAAAUUUACGAUCUUUAUUACUUCCGAUGAGCUAAAAAAUGCCAGUUAAUUUUCUUACAUUUUUAAUUUUACUCGUAUCUCAGCGUUUGCUUUGCAAGAAUAUUUGUCUUGCAUAUUUAUGUAUUAUUUUUUUUUCACAUAUAAAAUUCAAUUGAAUGAAUUUUAAGAGGAAAGUUUGUUCUCGUGGUUUUCUGCUCCUUCAAUUUGCUGGUUGUGUGCUGAUUAUGAUUAUUUAAGAAAAUUGAGACAUGAAGCUAUAUAAUUAUUUGCAGCUAUCUUGCGGAUAGGUUCGUAUAACCUUAAUAAUUUUUUAAUGGCAGCAGAUAAGUUGGAUCAUCUCCAACAUAUAGUAGCUGCCUUCUUGACCGUCAAAUGUAUGUGAGAAGAAUCCAAAAUGGUAACCAAUAAUAGUGAGACACGUGUGAUGAAGAUUUCGUCCAAAAAGAAUAAAUUCUUAAAAAGAUUAUCUUGAAAUUUUUCUAAAAAAAUAUUUUAUUCACUUUUCCCUAUAAAAUGCAGUUACAUUGAGGCUGCCCUUGAUAAAAUACUAAAAGAAAUCAUUGCUUUCCUCAAUAUUAUGUCGGCCAUAACUUUGAUUCCAUGCACCACUAAAGGCCAUGAUUGCUUUCGGCAUACACUUUUGAUUACACUUUUUGUUUUUUGAGAAAUUAAUUAGAACAUAAAACUUUCCUUUCAUUGAUUUCUUCAAAAGAAAGUUAGGUCCUCUUUCAUAUUGAAAUACUGUAAUUUUUUAGUUUUAAAUUAUUAAAAAAAUUAUAAUUAUAAAGUAAAAAUUAAUAGUAUGUAAUAAAUAUAAUUUUUACAAAAUUAAUAAAAAUAUAAUAAAAUUUUCAUCAUACAACUUAAUUUUCAAGAUAUAAUAGUUAAUAUUUAUUAAACACUUUAGUAUUAUAGUUUAAAAAUUACAGUUUCCCAAGCUUAAUUCUAAAUGAAACCUUAAUUAGAAGUUUAUGUAAAAAAUUUACGAUCUUUAUUACUUCCGAUGAGCUAAAAAAUGCCAGUUAAUUUUCUUACAUUUUUAAUUUUACUCGUAUCUCAGCGUUUGCUUUGCAAGAAUAUUUGUCUUGCAUAUUUAUGUAUUAUUUUUUUUUCACAUAUAAAAUUCAAUUGAAUGAAUUUUAAGAGGAAAGUUUGUUCUCGUGGUUUUCUGCUCCUUCAAUUUGCUGGUUGUGUGCUGAUUAUGAUUAUUUAAGAGCCAUUUACUGAUAACAUUUCAUUUCAAAUAAAAUUAAAAUGUCCAAUGUAUUAAAAUUUGUCAAAACUUUAUGCUAAAAAUCAUUAGGAGAAAAAUGAUUAUUUUAGCUAUUUUGAGUCCCCCGACAGAUUUUGAGGGAGAUUGGAAUCUUGUGUAAUUUUGCUGUUUGGAAUUAUGAUGCAUCUUUAUCGACUUUUUUGUUGACUGAACUUGAUUGGCCUCUGAACUUGACUUUUUUUUUUUAUUUAAGAGCACACAUCAUUGCAUCUCCUCUUCCUCCCAUUAGUUUGCUGUUGCGGUCGAAAAGUCUUUUUGAGCCAUUCAUACUUUCUUCUGCUGGAGAUGUGGCCCACUUGCAUAUCCAAUCACAACUGUCUUCCACCCAAACGAACCGCAGACCACGUGCUUUUCGAAUUGGAAAAAAACAUAAUUCGAUAUAUGUUUUUCAUAUCCAUUCACUUGCCAUUCGUGAAGCACAUGUUCCCUUCUCCAUUACAGCAUAUCUAGCUAAAUUGUGAGCUUGGACAUUACAUGCCCCUGGAACGUGUUGAACUUUGACGUUUUGGAACCAGUUGCUCUAUUUUUGUAUUUCAGAAAUUACCCAAAAUAUCUCAGUUUUACUCCCUUUCUUCUUGUUAACUAAAUCAGCAACUUCUUGGCAAUCCAUCUCCAUUAUCAGGUAAAAAGCAAUGCAUGCUAUAAUGAAUUUUUUGUUGACUGAACUUGAUUGACCUCUGCAUGCGACCUCAUGUAGGUCCGUCCGCUGAAAUACGGGUUACGUGUUCUUUAAUGGAUCAACUCGACCCGAUAUUGACCCGCGUUUGGUUGGACCGCAGGAUGUAUGUGACGUGUCUUGUUGGCCGUUGAUCCGCCUUGUGGGAGGGUACUGGAUGGUUGACGUUGUAUCUGGACCAUUAUUUUGAUCAUAUUGAACGCGGUCCAAGGGUUCUGAAGCUGUCACGUACUCUGCUACUUCAAACCCUUGAUUUAAUUCAGUUUGGUGGAUCCAACGGCCAUUUUCCGCAUUUCUUUAAAAUGUAAAAGCAUCAUUUUAAGCUGUACAGGCCGUCGAUUUAGAGCGAGCUUUCAAGUGUUAAGGCCAAAAAAAUUUUAUCUUGGGGAAGAAUUUAGUGAGUGACUUCUUUUUUUUUUUUUGUCCUUAAAAUUUAUUUUUAAACCCUAGAGUUUUGAGAAAUACUUUUCUUAAGGGUUAGAAGCAAAUGUUUUAGGUUGGAAUUUUAAUGAGUGCAAAGUAUGUUAUUGUCAGACAUCAAGAAUCAAAUUAGCAUUUUGUGUGUGGAUUGCUUGAAAUUGGCUGGCAACUAUGAUUUGGCGCUUUCACUGCUGAAAGAGUACAUUAAAAAUUCUGAGGUCAGUCUCUCACUCUCACCUGUGCUAACAUUAUGCCUAAAACUGAUGCAAUACAUGUUAUGUCUAAAACUGAUGCAAUUCCGUGGGGUUUUAUAUAUGUAGAUAUUUGGUGGGUUUCAGGACUAUCUGAGAGAUUUUAGCAUUGUUGUUCCUGGAAGUGAAAUCCCAGAGUGGUUCGAGUAUCAGAAUAAUGAGGGUUCUUCAAUAACAAUAAGCACGCCUCCAAAGACGUAUAAGAAUAGUAAGCUUCUGGGAUAUGCUAUGUGCUGUGUUUUUCAUGUCCCUAAAUAUUCACUUCCUUAUUAUAUACGACCGCUUCCAUAUCCCGUACAUGGGCUGUCCAUAAAUAGGAAGCCUACCACCCCGGCUUUGGGUGGCAUUUAUUUGAGAAAGCAAUUCGGUCAGGCUAUGUCAGACCAUCUUUUCCUAUACUACCAGAAUAGGGAAGAUAUUAGUGAAGUGGAAUUUUCUUCGCCGUCGGGAUCGGAGGUGAAGAGGUGUGGUGUCCAUCCAAUUUAUGUGCAUCAAGGGGAUAAGUUCAACCAAACAACUGAUCCGGUUUGGAAAUUGAACGAAUUUGGUCACGAUUGUGCAGAAUCAACAUCCUUUACGCGUGGCCGUAAUGAUGACUUAGACAGGGCAGAAGCCGGUGGAAGUUGCUGCGGGGAUGAUGCAGGAUCAACAACGUCGUCUGAGCGAAGGUUUCUAAAGCGAAGUCUUGAAGAAUAUGUUGGGGCGGCUGAAGCUAGUGGAAGUGGCUGCUGUAAUGAUGAUGAGGAACCACAACCUAAAAGAUUUAGACAACUCGAAUGAUGGGCACAGCCUAGCGAAUAUUAUUUUCUCUGAGUCUACGUGUAACAGUGUAAGUGCGCAUCUCAAUUUCAAUUUUAUUUUCUUUGCNNNUUUCUAAAGCGAAGUCUUGAAGAAUAUGUUGGGGCGGCUGAAGCUAGUGGAAGUGGCUGCUGUAAUGAUGAUGAGGAACCACAACCUAAAAGAUUUAGACAACUCGAAUGAUGGGCACAGCCUAGCGAAUAUUAUUUUCUCUGAGUCUACGUGUAACAGUGUAAGUGCGCAUCUCAGUUUCAAUUUUAUUUUCUCUGCAGAUCGCAUUUCAUUUACUUUCUUUGUAUUUGUUUAUUGUAUCUGUUCUUGCUACUUAUUUCCCUGUUAAAUUACCAGAAAAUGCCUGGCUUGGGUCAAAAAGUUGGACAGAAUCAGAAUGUGCCUUCCAUGAAUCAAAAUUGCAUUCUUGCCCCAUCAAAUCGAGGCUUUGAAUUUUGAGAUUUGAUUUCUCAUGAGGUGAAAAUUAAGGAAAGUAAAGGACCGAAGUAAAUACUCUGGAAAAGAUGUCGUACAUAGAUGCGAUGAGCGCGAGUUGUUUGGUAUACUUGAAGGGGCUCAGGACCACAAUGACUAAUUAUUUAAUGUUGUGUGUUAAAUAUUAAAAUAUGCAAUAUAAAACGGAUACUCAGAAAUUCUUAAAAAAAUAAAAUAGAAUUAAUGAAGUUGUAAUUUUAUUUUAUUUUUUUCCUUUCGGAGCGAAAACAAGUCCAUGCCUGACCACUUCGGAGGAGAGGCUAAACUGAUAAAAGUAGAACAUUUUUUUCUUUUUUUGGGGGUUUUCAAAUAACGGAGUUACAGAGUUAGAGAUGUUUUUUUUUUGGGGGGGUUUUAAGGGAAGACGGUACCUAGAUAUUGAUAAAAGAAAAAUCCUUUAGAGUCAGGAUAAAAGUCCUACCAUCAAUAAUAGGAGUUAAAUAUGAGAAUCAUCUCCCUUAAUUUAAGUUUAAAAGAUAAGUAAUUAUGCAACAAGUCAUUUAGAAGUUGUGGUACUUUUUCAUACUUUAAAUUAUUUUUGUCUAGUCAAUUAAAUAGAUAUUUUUUAAGUCGCCAAAAAAAUAAAAAAAUAUUUUGAAAUUAAAAAUGAUAGGUGCUGUCUAUAGUUUUACAAUUUUACAGUUGGUAGUAGAAAUAUAAUAGCAUUGUAAUAAAUAUAAUUAGCUAGUAAUAUUAUUUCAACAAUACUUUAUAUAAAAAUAUUCCAUAAGGUCUUAUAGCAAUUUAUAUCAUAAUUAAAUGUUGUAUGAAUUUAAUUGUAAAACCAUUAGUACUUGAACAACAAUGAUUAUAGAAGGCAUUGUAAUAAAUUAUUUGAUAUACAUUAUUAACGAUACUAUAUGAAUCUGAAAUAAAUGAGAAAUAUUUUCAUCCACAUAUCUAUUUUUAGAGUUAAAUUAGGAAAAAGAACACCCACAUAUCUCUAACUCUGUAACUCCUUUCUUUGAAAACCAAGAAAAAAAAAUGUUCCAGUUUGCCUUUAGCCUCUCCUCCCAAGUUGUCGGGCAUGGACUUGCUUUCGCUUCCGAAAGGAAAAAAUAAAAUAAAUAUAUGUAUAUUAAAAUAUUUUUAAUCUUCAAAAAAUAUUUUAAUACUGUUCAAUAUUAUAUUAUAUUAAAUUAAAUUUUAUAAUGGAUAUAAACAUAAUAUUAAAAUAAAUAUAUAAAGAUUCAAAUUAUUUUAAAUUUAUAUAAAAUAAUUUUAAUAUUAUCAAUACAUGAGAUAUUUUUUAUUAGUUGUAAAAUCUAUUUAACCCAAAUAUUUAUUUAAAAAUUAUAUAAUAGAUAAAAAGAUAUUAUUAAAAUAAUAUUAUAAUUUACAUUUUAAAAUUUAUUUUAUACAUAUUACAAAUAUUUCAUUAUUUUUAGUCUAUUAGACAAAAUAAACUAUUUAAAGUUUAUUUGAAUUUAUUAAAAAUGUUUUAACGUUAAUUUUUUUUUAGUUACUACCUAUGCAGGAUAUUAUAGCCAAAAGGGAGUUUAGGUAUCAUUUUCCUUUUAAGUUAUUUUAUCUUAAAUUUUUAAUACAAAAUUGAAAUUAUUGAUUUCAUGCAAUUCAAUUACUAUGGUGGAUGAUUUAACAUCGUAAAAGUUUAUAUUGACUUUCAAUAUCAACCAUUAGAAUGUGAGAGAUUAAUGGCUCAUUUUUUGUGUCAAAUUUUAAGUUAAAAUAUCCUAAACCAUGCUUUUAUAACGAGAAUAUAAAAUAAAUAGAUAAUAUUUUUCCCAUUCAUUCCCAUGAAUAUUAUUGGAGCUAAUAUUUACUUCUUAUAUUAAUUACCAUCAUAAAAGCAAUCAGUCUUUUAGUGACAUAAAAUUUUGUAACCACAAUCAAUGAACAUCAACAAAACAAUCUUUCAUAAUUCAUAAACUAUAGCUAAUUAAGAAUAUAUGUUAAUUUCAACUUUAUGAAAUCAACAAAGUGACAUUGGAAAAUUAAAUGAAAAUAGGCUUGUAAAACUUAAAUUUAUAUUCCUACCAUGUAAAAGUAUUCACUGUAACAUAAUCCAUAAUUUCAUGGUAUAGGUUGUGCUAAAUUGGUGUUAAACAUAAUAUACACUUCAUGAUUAAUCAUACAAUGGUGCUUAAUAAUAUACAAAAUAGUGAGCAUUAUGUUAAAUUUUAUUAAAGCAUGAAAAAGGUGAAGAAUGACAGAGGCAACAGCCAAAGACGGUUGACAUGAGGUGGCUUCGGGUUUUGCUAUUUUUCUGACUUUUUCUUCUUCUUUUUUUUUUAUGAAAGUAAUGGAUGAUGGAGGGAGGAUUUGUGUAUGGGGAAUGGUUGAUGGUCAGGAAAGCUCUAUCUAAUACAAAGAAAGGUUCUGAUACCACUUGACGCACUGCAUAAGCGAUACUAGAUUUCAUUUUAACGUACGUUCUUGAAAAUUCAAGAAAGAAGGCUCUCACGAAGGAGAAAGUAUCUCAAUUAAGAAAUAUUAAAUAUUAUUGAUGAGAAGCUUAUGUAUGUUAUAAUGAACUAUCAGUACAAGCCUAAGCUUAUGUAUGUUAUGCUAUUUGCUCAGUUUUUCAUGUCCCUAAGCAUUCACUAUGGCGUUCAUUUCCCACACAUCAAUUGCGCUGCUAUAUGGAUGGUUCUGGUCUCGGUUAUUUUACUUGUUUUAGUGAGAAUUUCGGUCACGCUGGUUAGACCAUCUUUGGCUACUCUUUUUGUCUCAUCAACGCUGCUACGAUACUAAUUGGUGUUUUCAAUCUAAUCAUAUUGAGUUGUCGUUUAAAUCCCCCUCAAUUCCAGAAUUGAAGGUGAAGAGGUGUGGCUUCCAUCCAGUUUAUGUUCACAAAGUCGAGGAGUUUGACCAAACAACAAAGCAAUGGACUCACUUUAUCUCUUAUGAUCUGAAUGAAUCCCAUCAUAAUUUUGUUGGAUAAAAAAUGGAAGUAGCCACAACAUCAAAGCGAAGCCUUGCAGAAAAUGCAGUGGCAACUGAAGCUAGUGGCAGUGGCUGCUGUGAUGAUGAUGACGAACAACCACCUGAAAGAUUUAAACAACUCAAAUGAAGGGUAAGGCCAACCACUUGGGCUAAGCCCAAGUGGUUAGAGCCACUCCCUCACAUUUGUGAGGAAAGUGGUUCAAGCCUCCGCAGACGCAUUGCAGGGGUUUAAUUUAAAUUUCCUUCCUUAGAGCCCCAGAGCUUGAGUAAAGGCAGUCUUUCUCCCAGGACGGGAGUUGACGUCUCUCGAAUAUUUGAGGGUUAAAAAUCUGAGCGGUGCUAUAUCAGAAUUGUUGUAAAACGGAUCUCAGUAGAUAUAUGAUUAUAAAUAACAUCAUGAACAAUAGUUCUCAUUCAAAAAAAAAAAAAGAAGGGUAAGGCCUGGUGUAACAGUGAGAGUACGCAUCCCAAUUUCAAUUUAUGUUCUUUAAAUUUGCAUAUGGUAUUUCAUUUACUUUUUAUUUGUCCAUUUAUUGUAUCUGUUUUGGCAAAUUUUUUUAAUGUUAAAUUACUAGAAAUACUCGAUUUGGAUCAAAAAGUUCGUCGGAAUCAAAAUGUGUUGCUCGGCCAAAUUGAUGCAUUGAAUUUUGUGAUUUCUCAUGAGUUGAAAAUUAAAGAAAGAGUGAAAAUUGAAAGCAUGAAAUCCCCUCGUUGAUUUCUUUGAAACAAACAAAAUUGAAAUUAUCUUUAUAAAGAGGAAUUAUCUUUGGCAAAGUAAAAUUUCAUCAUUUUUCAAUGCGUCCAACACGCUCAAAGCAUUAAGGGUGCGUUUAGGAUUCAUGUGCUGUAACUUUUAAGGUACAGCUGCUGUGAAAAAAAAAUUAUAACUAUGAAACAAAAAUUAAUAAUAUGUAGUAAAUAUAAAUUUUAAAUAAUAAUUUUGACAAAAUUAUUAAAGAUAUAAUAGAUUUUCUAUUAUACAAGUGAAAAAGUAUAUUAACAUAGCUUCUAAGCUACAGCAGUUAGUGUUUACCAAACACUUUAGUGCUGCAGCUUAAAAGAUACAGCUGCCCAACUUCAAUCCCAAACAUACCCUAAGUUUUCUCGCAGUUUUGUAUUCCAACAUUGCUUCCCAUGAAUGUUUGUCUUACAUUAUUAUGUAUUAAGUAUUCUUAUGUAUUAAGUGUUUCUUUUUUCUUUUUUUGGAUGUGAUAGAUUAAGUGUUUCUAAUCACUCGAUUAGUCAAUAUUAGAGGAGAUCAUGUUCUCUUCUUUGCUGAUUUUGAUUUUUAUGUACAGUUUUUUCGGUACUUGUUGAGUUGGAACUCAAUGUGAGUACACAUUUUUUUCCCCAACAACACAAAAAAACAAUUGCUUCUUCAACUUCUCUUCUUAUCCAUAUGCUGAAAAAAAAAAGAACAUUGAACAAUCCAUUGAAGAAAGAAGGUAUUUAUAUUGUGAUCAAAAGGAGGUUUUCCACUUGUGAUUUCUUUCUGGCCAUUAACGUGAUCCAACAUUCGAUCAUUCCGCUGCAGGACUCGUGAAGAAAGGUAGACUCUUGAAUCCUUUUAUUUUCUUUCAAUUUAAGAGGCAUUUACUCAUAAAAAUCCUCUACUUUUCCUCAAAACAAAUAUAUUUGCCUAAUUAGCUUAAGUUCUCUUAAAGCAAAGCACUUCAUUGGAAUUCAUUUACUUACAAAAAUCCUCUCUAUUUAAGAUUUGCUCAGGCACACUCUCCUGUCAGGAUCUGAAAAGUUAAUUUUUCUAAUAUAUUUUGGGAUUUGUGGUAUGAUAUUUUCUUUUCUUUAAAGAAAGGAUAACAUAAAAUUGUGUAAGAUCAAUUAAAGUAUAAAUUUGAUUCAUAUGUAACUAUAACUUAAGUGAUCACAUAAUAGUUGAUUUCUUUUUACAAUUUCGACAUGCUUAUUUCUUUUUUGUAUAAUUUUUAUUUUAUUUUAUUUUAUUUUAUUUUUACUAUUAUAUUCUUGACUAUAGUAAGCCGAAAAUUGAUAUUAUAUUUUAAAAAUAAAAAUAAAUAUAUUAUUAAUAUAAAUAAACUAAAUAUAUUAUAUUUUAAAAAUAAAUAUAAAUUAUUAUUAAUAUAAAUUUAUUAUUCUUGACUAUUUUAUUUUUACUAUUAUCUGCCUUUAUCACCGAGCGGGCAUCUCAAAUUCAAAUGUUAUUGUAUAUUAACAUAGCUUCUAAGCUACAGCAGUUAGUGUUUACCAAACACUUUAGUGCUGCAGCUUAAAAGAUACAGCUGCCCAACUUCAAUCCCAAACAUACCCUAAGUUUUCUCGCAGUUUUGUAUUCCAACAUUGCUUCCCAUGAAUGUUUGUCUUACAUUAUUAUGUAUUAAGUAUUCUUAUGUAUUAAGUGUUUCUUUUUUCUUUUUUUGGAUGUGAUAGAUUAAGUGUUUCUAAUCACUCGAUUAGUCAAUAUUAGAGGAGAUCAUGUUCUCUUCUUUGCUGAUUUUGAUUUUUAUGUACAGUUUUUUCGGUACUUGUUGAGUUGGAACUCAAUGUGAGUACACAUUUUUUUCCCCAACAACACAAAAAAACAAUUGCUUCUUCAACUUCUCUUCUUAUCCAUAUGCUGAAAAAAAAAAGAACAUUGAACAAUCCAUUGAAGAAAGAAGGUAUUUAUAUUGUGAUCAAAAGGAGGUUUUCCACUUGUGAUUUCUUUCUGGCCAUUAACGUGAUCCAACAUUCGAUCAUUCCGCUGCAGGACUCGUGAAGAAAGGUAGACUCUUGAAUCCUUUUAUUUUCUUUCAAUUUAAGAGGCAUUUACUCAUAAAAAUCCUCUACUUUUCCUCAAAACAAAUAUAUUUGCCUAAUUAGCUUAAGUUCUCUUAAAGCAAAGCACUUCAUUGGAAUUCAUUUACUUACAAAAAUCCUCUCUAUUUAAGAUUUGCUCAGGCACACUCUCCUGUCAGGAUCUGAAAAGUUAAUUUUUCUAAUAUAUUUUGGGAUUUGUGGUAUGAUAUUUUCUUUUCUUUAAAGAAAGGAUAACAUAAAAUUGUGUAAGAUCAAUUAAAGUAUAAAUUUGAUUCAUAUGUAACUAUAACUUAAGUGAUCACAUAAUAGUUGAUUUCUUUUUACAAUUUCGACAUGCUUAUUUCUUUUUUGUAUAAUUUUUAUUUUAUUUUAUUUUAUUUUAUUUUUACUAUUAUAUUCUUGACUAUAGUAAGCCGAAAAUUGAUAUUAUAUUUUAAAAAUAAAAAUAAAUAUAUUAUUAAUAUAAAUAAACUAAAUAUAUUAUAUUUUAAAAAUAAAUAUAAAUUAUUAUUAAUAUAAAUUUAUUAUUCUUGACUAUUUUAUUUUUACUAUUAUCUGCCUUUAUCACCGAGCGGGCAUCUCAAAUUCAAAUGUUAUUUUGCACAUGAUAAUUCAUUUACAUUCUGUUUAUUCAAAAAUCUGUUAUAAAUCAGUUAAGGGUUAGUGACGUGGCAUUGAUGAGCUGUCUGGAUUGGUGUCCAAGUUUGUUAACCGUGGUUAGCACUUCAGCAGCAGCUACAAAAUAAACACAGGGUCUGAUUUAUGUGUCAAUCUUUAAUGUGUCCGUUUGUCAGGUAGAGCGAAGAGUUAGAAAUAUUGAGCUCACGCUCUUCCUUGUCAUUUCCUCUGUGAAAUUUUUAUGGGUUUAAAUACUUGAACCUCGGAAUUGAAGCUACAAUGCUUAGUGCACAUAUGUUGAAUUGAGGAUAGAUUUUAGGAAGAAAGACAAAUAUCUAUAUGAAUAUAAUCGAUCUCAGCUUGAUUCGGGCUCAGAACAAACGAUAAAUAGACAAAGGAAUGAUUAUCUGGAAUUUGCAGGCCAGGUUCAAGAGAGGAGUUGUUGAGGAAUAAUGGUAUAAUUCUCGUGCCUAGGACGUGUUCGAUAAUAUGCCUACGAAGGAAUGUGCAUCCCACCUGAUGUGUUGCAUCAACUCUAUGGUUUCCCAAGCAAAAGCAAUCGAUCAACAAGGUCAAUUCGUGAAGGUUUGUUCUGCGUGAGUCAUGGCUAGUUAGCAGAUUCUGAGAUUCCUUCACUAUCAAUAUGUAUUGUCAAUAUAUUGUUUACAUAUAUUGUUUACGUGUUCGAUAAUCAGCACAAAUAGCCAGCCAAACUAAUGAGUCAGCCAGGAACUCUAAUGAUCGAAGGCAAAACCAAGAAGAGAGUGAAGGGUCUGCACAAAGGGGCAUCCCAGGUACUCGAUCGAAUACCAAUGAUUUAUUGGCAAUCUUUAAUGUGUCCGUUUGUCAGCUACAAAAUAAGCACGCUCCUUCUUGUCAUUUCCUCUUGUGAAAUACAUUCCUUCACUAUCAAAUUCCAUAUCUUCAGUGCCUUGGUAGUUUAUGUACACGUGUCUUUAACAGAAUUUUACCACAAACACAGUGCAAACCCAGUGUUUAUCUAAUCAAUUAUUUUCUUCUUCUAGCGGCUAACCGUUUUGCAAAUUUCUAAAUAGAAAUAUACAUGACAGAAUUUGAUUAUUUGUUGUUUCGUGAAUGAUGUGGUAGAAUGAAGGAAUUGUAGAAUUUCUUGAGUUUUAGACAUAAAACAGAGUCAGGCCAUGGAAUGAAUGAAAAAAAUAUCAUCGCAUUUGUUGGAAUGAUGCUGUGCUUUAUUCAAAAUUAUUUCUUCUACUAGAGAAGCAAUCAAUAAUAGUGUUAAUUCUUGAACCUGUGAAAAGCAAUUAAUUUUCUUCAUUUGUUUAAUAGCAAUCUUCCAUAACCAUUGUGCUUGGCUGUGAAAUAGGCCAUUUGUGGCUGAACAUAGAAUCUGUUUUUUGUUUCUUUGUUGCUUUUUGCGAAUCUUUGGCUUAAUUUACAAUUCAUGGCAUGUCUGAAAAUGGGUAGAUGAAUAUGUUAAAUAUGGACUCAGAUUUAGAUCAGAUUUAUCAAUGAAACAAUCAAGAGGAUUCAACAUUUGAUUUUUAUUUUUCUUUUCUCCACCCCCAUGUUUAAUUUUGGUCCGAGGAUUUGGUUGAUAGGAAUUGACAACUAUUGAUUUUCCUUUUUUUCGUUAAACAACAGACCACAAUGUCAAUUUGAAGACUUUGUUGAUAAGAAUUGACAACUGUUGGUUCUUAUUAUUUGUUUUUGUUUAAUAGAAGAUGCCUUGGAAUUCCGCAUCGUUGACAUGUAGUUGAUAUUUAAAACUACAACUGUCGGAAUUCUUAUUAAGAAAAUUACUAUGCUGCUUGCAACAUAAUCAAAGUUGUAAAUUUUAUGCCAUGCAGUUCUCUUUAUUUUCAUUUAUGUUUUUGAAUUUUCAGAAUAAAUAUGAAGAAGAAGAUCAUUAAUUUCCAAAGCUGAGAAGAAAAUAUUUUCAGAAUUAUACUACAAUGACUAUAGGGAGAUCCUGAAAAUGAGAUUCUUGAUAUUCUUCAAAUAAGUUUUGAUGGGUCCAAAGAAACAGAGAAGAAAAUAUUUCUUGAUAUUGCAUGUUUCUGUGAAGGGAAGUAUAGAGAUUAUGUGAAAAAAUUCUCAAAUAUUGUGAUUUUGACCCAAUUAUCGAAAUUGUUGGUCCUAUUGAAAAAUCUCUAUCAACUGUAGAUGAUUUCAGCGGACUGUGGAUGCAUGAGUAGUUACAAGAAAUGGGGUAGACAAAUUGUUAGGAGGCAAUCCCCUCAGGAGCCUGGAAACUGCAAUAGAUUGUGGAAGGAAGCAGAUAUAUGCCAUGUAUUAUCACAAAGCACAAGUAAAUGUUCAGUUAGGUUGAAAACUUGCAAUUUUGGGAUCAUGAUCACUUAUUUAACUAGUUAAACCUUUGCAUAGUUUUAUCAAUAUUUUCUUUCUUUCAUUAAUUUUAGUUUUAGUUUAGUUUAGUUUAGUUUUAUUUUUUUCCCCAUAAGGUAGAGAUGAGAUGAGAAACCUCAUUCAUUAAACACCAAAAAGUAUUUUAAAGUAUGCUGGUGGUCUUCCGUUAGUCUCAAGGUUUUGGGCUCAUUUUUGUUUGGUAGAACCAUAGUUGAACGGGAAAGUGCACUACAAGACUAUAUAGAGAUCCUGAAAGUGAGAUUCUUGAUGCACUUCAAAUGAGUUUUGAGGGGUCAAAAGGAAUAGAGAAGAAAAUAUUUCUCACUAUUGCGUGUUUCUAUGAAGGGAAGUAUAGAGAUUAUGUGAAAAAAAUUCUCAAAUACUGUGAUUUUGAACCAAUUAUCGGAAUUGUUAGUUUUAUUGAAAAAUCUCUAUUGACUAUAGAUGAUUUUAGCGGACAGUGGAUGCAUGAGUUGUUACAAGAAAUGGGGUAGACUAAUUGUUAGGAGGCAAUCCCCUCAGGAGCCUGGAAACUGCAGUAGAUUGUGGGAGGAAGCAGAUGUAUGUCAUGUAUUAUCACAAAACAGUGUAAAUGUUUACUGAAGCUGAAAACUUGCAGACAUUGUUCUUUCUUGUUGCUUGAAAUUGGAGAAAUUUCCAGACAUUGUGCAAGUUCUUUGGGAUGGAACUGAUAUUAGAGAACUGUCAUUCGCAAUUGAACUUCUAUUUAGACUUGUUCUGUUGACUCUGAAUGGCUGCAAAAAUCUUGAGUGUCUUCCAAGGACCAUAAGUGCUCUAAAAUAUCUAUCAACUUUGAAUCUCUCCGGCCCUUUGAAAUUCAGAGAGUUCCCAUAGAAAACUUCAAGCCGGGAUCAGCUCUUGGAGCUUCAUUUGGAAGGAACUGCUAUAAGAGGAUUGCCAGCAUCUAUUGAACUUCUUUCUGGCAAUGUCUUGUUGCAUUUGAAAGAUUGCAAGAAUCUCAAGAGUCUUCCAAGUACUAUAAAUGGUUUGAGAUCUCUUAGAAUGUUGCAUCUCUCUGGCUGCUCCAAACUUAAAAAUGUGCCAGAGACCUUGGGAAAAGUUGAAAGCUUGGAAGCUAGAUUGUCUUGUUAGAAUCGGGCCAAAAUGCAGAAUGAUUUCGACUAUGUGGAACAGAGUGCAGUGGAGACAGUAACAAAGUUAGCAAAAGCAGAAUCGCUAAGGUACUUUACAAAAUUAAUAUUUGCCUUUAGAACAUGCAGUACUGUAUUACUUCUAUGUGCAUUCCUAUCAAUAUCUUCGACAGAAAGAUUCAGAUUCAUGGAAGAAGAAUGUUGAUAAGGGCAUCAAGCUAUCUACAACAGCAAUAUCAGCUUGCUCACUUGCCUGCCAUAGGCUGAUUCAAACCUCAAGAGCCAUGCCGAAGAGUUGAAUCAAAUAACAGCAAAUUCACAUCUUAGGUGGCCUUUUCUUCUGCUGUACCGUACAUCCGCCUUGGCCGUAAGAUGGAUUCCUAACCUUACUAAGUAAUAUUAUCAACAAUUUUUGGAUUUGCUGAUUUUAGAGCCUGGUCUUAGAAUCCAUAAUGCAUUGACAAAUACAGAAAUGAUCAAAUUACUAGACUCAGUAGUUGCUAUUUAUGUUAUUAUUGAAGGAUGAUUCAAAUUCUUUAUGUAUGUUAGUUUUUGUUUGGGCGGGAAAUUUAAGUUUUAUCUUAGUUGACUCUAUUGACCACUGCUUGUAUCAAAAAAAUCUGAAUACUGGUCGUACGAGUACUAGAUAAUAGACCUCAGGCCAUGAGAGGAGAGACCAAAAUCGAGUCAGAUCGAAGGCUUGAUCAAAGGCCAACACGUAGUUUGUCUCCAAGAAACUCGGGCACAAAGCCCAUUCAGCGGCAGUUACAUUGUCCAUUGACCCAUGAUUUCAAAGACGCAGCACGCACCUUUUCACUUCCAAGCCAACAGUAAUCGUGGGGAAGAUGGAGUCGAUGGUUCAGGUUGGGUAUAAAAGCUACGGAGAAUGGAGGUAAAAAGGGCUGGACAAAUUUUUUUUUUUUAUUUCCAUAUUUUCUCUCUCGAUAAUUCUCUCUAUUUAUUUUUCUUCGUUUUGAGAAUUAAGAUUUCUAACUUUCAACUGAUAUAAUUAAGUAAUGAGUUUGUGAUACAAGUUUUUCUAAAAGAGACCCAAUUACUGACAUGAGCGUGGAGGAUUUUUGCCAAAAAAUUUUUGGUGCCGCUCUAAUUGGAUAUUGUGAGUAUAGGUGAUUCAACUUAGCGAGUUUUGGUUGAAGCUAUCUACUCGAGUGCGAUAGCCGUCGCACUGAAUCAGCUCCCUAGCAAACAAAAUUUAAACGUUGGCGCAGAUAGCCUGGUCGUAGUUCCAUCGAUCAGAUUCCUGCAUCAAUACCGUCAGGACUCUACCAAGUUUACCUCAAGUCUCCGUCAAGACACAACAUGAUGAUCCAUGUCACAACAACGUCCAUUAUUUUAUUGGUGCACAAUUUGCUAUUGUCAAGCAAAUUGCUGUCCCUUUGACAAAAUUUACCAAGUUUAGUAAUAUGGUCGGCCACCAUUUUCAACAUAUACACAAUAAAUGCAUUCCCCACAAAUAAUAAGGUCAUUCAUUGGCAUUUUCAUUUCAUCAAGUUAGUUUAUAAAAUUUUGACAUUCACAUUUCACUUUUGCAAUAAGCCCAUCAUUUUGAAGAAAUCUUGUCACUUAUUUUGUACUAAAUUUUUAAGAUCAACUAUAAUGGCCUCCAUGACCAUGAACAUCCAAAAAGGAAUCAUCGUAAUCUUACAGAUGUUACGAUUAUAUUUAAUGGAAAUGACUCAGAAAUCUACGUCUAAUAGACGUUUUUAGAUUUAGUCCCGUGUAUUCAUACAAUUGAAGCUUCCAGGAAAUUUCGCGGUAAUGUCAUAUGAUGUACUGUGGGUAGACACGAUGAAAAUAAUUAAAAUGUCACUUUUUGACCAAGACUUGCUUUUCGUUUUGUCAUACAAACAAACAACAACAGAUAUGGAAUUCCAUUAAGUAGCUGCCUGCUACAGUACAGUCAACGCUGUCAGUUCUAUCUUAUACACGCAUUUCUCUUUUAUUUUCAGUAUUAAUUUCCAUAUCCUGGAUCUAUGUUCGAAAAGAAGAAAGUGGAGGCAAGCUGGAAUGUGAAAUUUUGUAUAAUUAUUUUGAAGGAAAAAAUUUGAUAAAAUUGUCACGUAAAUUCUCUUGGCUGAAAUAUUUUCAGUAUUAUUUUCCACACUCUCAAAAUUUGCUAAAAUGGUCACAUAAAUUCUCUUGGCUUCAUAAAUAUUCAUUAAGACCCUUUUUUAACAAUUAUCCCUUGAAUUAUAACAACACAAAAAUUUAUUUUAAAUAAAUUUCUGUAAUAAGUACAUAGAUAAUAUUAAAAUAAUCUAAUAUAUAAACUAUUAUAAAUUUUAAAAAUUAUUUUGAAUAUUAAGCAAAAUUAUUUUUAUAUUAUUAUUCUGUUUUUCGCAUACUAAUAAUAUAAAGUCAAUAUACAUUUAACAUUCAAGAUAACUUACAAAUUCUAUGUUAUAUAUUUUAUUUAUAAUUUUUUAUAUUACCUUUUUUUUUAUAUCAUGUCUAUAUUAGCAUAAAUUUAAAGUUAAUUUUUGGAUUAAUGGAUUGAAGUAUCAGUUAAAACUAUCAAGAAUAUUGAUAAUAGCAAAAUACUAAAAAUAAUUUACAUGACAUAUAUGUGUUAAUUUAGUUAACUAUAUUUAUUUUAAUAUUUUAUUUGUCAAUUGCAUGCAACUGUAGCAUUUAUUUGAUUUUAGAGCCUGUUCUUAGAGUCCAUAAUGCAUUGAGAAAAGCAGAAAUGAUCAAAUUACAAGCCUCACGAGUUGCUAUUUAUGUUAUUAUUGAAGGAUGAUUCAAAUUCUUUAUGUUUGUUAGUUUUUGUUUGGGCGGAAAAUUUAAGUUUUAUCCGAGUUGACUCUAUUGACCACUGCUUGUAUCAAAUUUGAACAAAUGUGCAUACUAAAUUUUUUUGGAGAAAAAUGGAAUUGAAUAAUAAAUGUACAAUAAAAAAGUUACAUGUGUUGUGAUUUUCACAGAUGUAUUAAAAAAAAAUGAUUGGCGGAUUGAAUAAUGAAUGUACAAUAAACAAAAAAAAAAAUUACUUUUGUUGUGAUUUUCACGGACGAACAAAAAAGAAAAAAAGGGAUUAUAAGUGUAUUUAAACGGUCCAUUAGCCUUUAACAUUUACUUUCCAAUCUUUACUUAUCUCAACAAGAAAUUUCUAUAACUUCAAAAAAAAAAAUUAAAGAUUAUAGUGGAAUUCUUCCGAAAGAAUAAAUUCUUGAAAGAUUUUGGUGGAAAUUUUCCAAAAUAAUAAAAUUUUUAAAAAGAUUAUCGUGGAAUUUUUCUAAAAGAAUAUUUUAUUCAUUUUGCCCUAUAAAAUGUAGUUACAUUGAGGCCGCCCUUGAUAAAAUACUAAAAGAAAUCAUUGCUUUCCUCAAUAUCAUGUCGACCAUAACUUUGAUUCCAUGCACCACUAAAGACCAUGAUCAUGCUUCGUAAUUGCAUUCGGCAGACACUUUUGAUUACAAUUUUUGUUUUUGAGAAUUAAUUAGAGCACAAAACAUUCCUUUCAUUGAUUUCUUUGAAAGAAACUUAGGUCCUCUUAUACUGUAAUUUUUUAGUUUUACUGUAUUAAAAAAAUUAUAAUUAUAAGAUAAAAAUUAAUAGUAUAUAAUAAAUAUAAUUUUUUAAUAAUAGUUUUUAUAAAAUUAAUAAAAAUAUAAUAAAAUUUUCAUCAUACAUCUUAAUUUUUAAGAUAUAAUAAUUAAUAGUUAUUAAACACUUUAGUAUUAUAGUUUAAAAAUUACAAUUUCCCAAGCUCAAUUCCAAAUAAAGCCUUAAGUAGAAGUUUAAGUAAAAAUUUACGAUCUUUAUUGCUUCCGAUAAGCUCAAAAAUUCCAGUUAAUUUUCUUACAUUUUUUUCAUUUCAAAUAAAAGUAAAAUGUCCAAUGUAUUAAAAUUUAUCAAAACUUUAUGCUAAAAAUCAUUAGGAGAAAAAUGAUUAUUUUAGCCAUUUUGAGUCCCCCGACAGAUCUUGAGGGAGAUUGGAAUCUUGUGUAAUUUUGCUGUUUGGAGUUAUGAUGCAUCUUUAUCGACUUUUUUGUUGACUUGAACUUGAUUGACCUCUGUAUGCGACCUCAUGUAGGUCCGUCCGCUGAAAUACGGGUUACGUGUUCUUUAAUGGAUCAACUCAACCCGUAUUUGACCCGAUAUUGACCCGCCUAUGGUUGGACCGCAGGAUGUAUGUGACGUGUCUUGUUGGCCGUUGAUCCGCCUUGUGUGAGGGUACUGGAUGGUUGACGUUGUGUCUGGACCAUUAUUUUGAUCAUAUUGAACGCGGUCCAAGGGUUCUGAAGCUGUCACGUACUCUGCUACUUCAAACCCUUGAUUUAAUUCAAUUUGGCCGAUCCAACGGCCAUUUUCCGCAUCUCUUUAAAAUGUAAAAGCAUCAUUUUAAGCUCCACAGGCCGUCGAUUUCGAGCGAGCUUACAAGUGCUAAGGCCAAAAAAUUUAUCUUGGGGAAGAAUUUAAUGAGUGACUUCUUAUUUUUAUGUCCUUAAAAUUUAUUUUUAAACCCUAGAUUUUGGAGAAAUACUUUUCUUAAGGGCUGGAAGCAAAUGUUUUAGAUUGGAAUUUUAAUGAGUGCAAAGACAUCAAAAAUCAAAUUAGCAUUUAUUUUCUUGUCUUGUCUUUAGCUCUAUCAAGUUCGUUGAUGCAUGGUCUUUGAAUUUGAAGGUGUUACAUCCAAAACGGAUUCUCUCACAUCCAAUAUCAUUUUACUCUUAAAUUUAUCUAAUGAUCAGAUUUUGAUGCUUGAUUCACGUAGAAAAAAAAUUGUGAGGACUGUCAUUUUAGUAAAUUAAUAAAAGAAAAAAAAAUUCAUAUGGAGAGAGAUAUAUGCCAAAACCUCGAAGCAUGGAAACAAAUACAUCCAAUAACUAGAAAAAUAACAAAAGCAAUAGAAGAUAGGACUAAUUAAUGCAACCAUCUAGAGAAUCGCUUCCAAUUCCUGCGGCUAGUAACCAAUGUGAAACCUUUCUUAGAAUUGGAGGCACGCGGUCCGGCAAUACGAAAGUCAUCAAGAUCAUGCCCUCUAGUACCCUUAGGCUCAGAUGCAAAAUAUUCAUUAGUCACAGGAUUCCCAUCAGAGCUAAACUUCUCAUCAAAUUGAAAAAGGAUAUCUAUAGAAUGGGGAUUGAAGCCCACAAUCAUGGAGCGAAUAUCCUCUUCAGUAGCUCAAAAAAAAGUAGCAUCGAUGGAAGCCCUCUAAACACCUAGAUCAUCUAAAAAAGGAGGGUUAGAGACCUCAGUGCAUCCAGUAGCAUCUCUUAAAGCAGUAGGAUUCUUCAAACCAUCAUCAGUUUGAACUCUUUUCAUAGAAACUAGAUCAAACGCAUCUUCUGCAGUAUCCUGAUAAAUAGGUGACUGAGCAUCUAGAAGAGCACCCUCACUACCAUUCGACCUCAAUGGCACAACCUCUUUGCCAUCCCCUUUGGAUGCACAGCAGCAUUAGACAUCAGCAUCUUGCCUUUAUCAUGAAGAACAAUAUCCUGCACCUGAUUAACCGGCUGCCAGGGCUCUCAGAGCCCAGGAUUGGCAACAAAACAAGUAUUAGUAGAGUACCCAAGAUGCUUACACGAGGCAUAGUAUAAAGGAACACGCUCAAAAAUGACAUUCUGCCAGAACAUGCCAUCACCUUCACUAGUCCAAAGUUUGGGCAACAACGGCCGCAAAACAUCCAACUCAAUUGGAACUCUAGUGAUCCAGGGUUGAUUAACAACAACAGUAGCAUGGUCCACCCGUAGAGGCUUACCAAUAGCAUUAGCAAUAGAAAAUAAGACAUCUUUGCAAUGAAUAAAAUGCACUUGCAAAUACGGCAAAGAAACUCAAAUAAGAAGAAUAGGAGAUUCCUCAAAGCACCAAAAUGAAGUCUAUGAGACUACGCUACAUGAGACUCAAACACAAAGGCCUAAUUCUUGGUAAGGCUGCCCACCUAAAUCCACUUGGAAAAUGUUCAAACAUACUUUUGAUAAUGUAUUUUAGUCUGUGAGGGUUGACACAAUAGAAUUUGGAUUCGAGAUGUUUACGGUUGCGAAGCUUCUGUAAGUGUUCUUGGUCCAUUGUAAACUCACAUUAUUUUCAUAGUGAAUUGUUUCGUCUACAAGUGGACAUAAUAACAUGUCGAGAUUUUUAUCCUAAAUCGUGAGGAUCAAAGGUUUUCUUGUAAAAACAUCUCUGUGUUGUGGAUGUCCAUUUAUUUUGCAUAUUUAUUUUCAUUACCAUAAAUUGAUUUUUAAAUUUAUUGAUAGUGUUUAUUAAAUUAUCUUUAUUAACUAGGAAAUAAAAUCAGUAAUUUUAAAGAGAUUAUUAUUAUUAUUACCAAGUAUAUAAAGAUAAUGAAAUAAAAAAUAAAACUAAUAAUAUAAAUAUUUACUUUAGUUAUCAAUUAUUAUAUAUACACACAAUAAAAAAUAUUUUAUAUACAUACAUUAUAAGUAUGAAAAUAAAUUUUAUUCAAAACUAUGUCCAAUUUAAUCAUUUAUAUUCUUGUCAUUUACAAUCUUAUUAUAAUUUAAUAGUAAGAUUUACCAAAUACAUAGAUUGUUUUUAAAACUCACAGAACUUUUGAAAAUUGUAUCAAACGUUUAAUUGGUUAUCUUUAUAGUUGACUAUUUUUACAGUACAGUUAGCAGUAAUCAUUUUAAAAACUAUAAUAUUAACAAAAUGAUCCAACAUCUUUUAAGUACCCAGCUGAAAUUUAACUAAUAAAGGUUUACCAUUGCCGGUAGUUUUAACUAUUUUUAAUUAAUUAUUAAUAUCAACCGUUGGAUUCCAUUCCAUUCUAAUGGAAUCCAAUGGCUUCAACAUGGGUGAUGGGCAGAGUGGCAUGGACGCGUAAUCAAUUGAAAAGCCAGAUAUUCUUCGCUUAGAUUCCUUGAAGCUUCCAGCAAGCUCGAUGCUAACUCCAUCGUGUGAGUAAUCGAUUGAAAAGCCAGAUAAUUUUCAUUUAGAUUCCUUGAAGCUUCCAGGAAGGUUGAUGGUAACUUCAUCAUUAGAGUAAACAAAGACGAUAUUUUUGAAUUGUUAAGAAAGUCGCUGUUUGACCAAGACUUGCUUUUGGAAAUACACACAUUGCAACGCAACGGAGGCGCUGGAAACCGUGUAAUCGUUUUAAUUUUCCAAAUUAAACAAAAAAACCUCUGGCUUCCCUUGAAAGAUAGGUGCGCACGUAAAAUUCUAUCAUGUCGUAAUUAAUUGCGACAUUAAUAAGUAAUGAAUAUAAUUUUUUAUAAUUUAUACAUACAACCAGUACAUAAAAAAUAAAAUAAAUUAAUUAAUAUAAGUGUGGUUAAUUGAUAUUUUAAAAUUAAAAAUUAAAAAUACUUGUAAAAAUAAUAUAAAACUUAUAAAUCAAUGUUAAACUUUAACUAGAUUAGAAAAUAGUUUAUUUAUUUAAUUUAAUUAAGCAAAAAAAUCGCUAAUUAAGAAAAAAAUGGCUCAUUAAUUGAAAAAAAAUUGUAUUAAAACAAUUAGAAUAAAUUUUAUUGAAUUGGUUUAACCAUGAAUUCUAUAUUUAUCCUAGGACAUUUAUAAUUUUUUUUUUCAUUUUCUAUCAUAAUAUUUGUUUACCACACAAGUUACUUAAGCAAAAUUAUUAUUAUUUUUUUAAUGUGGAUCAAGCCAAAACAAAAUAAAAGUUAUUUUUAUAUUACUACAAAUAUAUGAUAUAUAAAUAAAAUUAUAUCUAAUUUUCAGUUUUAUGCACAAUUUAUAUAGUUUCAAACUUUACUUCUUUUACUUAAAGAUCAUUUGGGAUUACUGUCUAAGAGGUUUAUAGAGGGAUGCAAAAUUACCUUAUCUUACAAAUAACUUUAAAAAACAUAAAAAGAGUUUUAUUCUUAAUAAAAUUUUACAUAUAUCGUAUUACAUAAGCCCAAAACUAUCAUGAUUCAAUUUAGAAACAAAAUCAGUUAAAUACAUAAGGUAGUCAUUAUUAUCAUUAUAUUAAUUUAUUUAUUUUACUUUCUAUUGAGAAGCUUUAUAUUCUUAUUACAUAAUUUAUGUUUUAUUUUAUAUUUAAUGUUGAUUUAUAAGUUUUAUAUUACAUUUAUAUGUUUUAUCUAGAUAAUUAAUAUUAAUUAUAAUAUGCACAAAUAUGUUUCACUGAUUCUGCUGUACGGCCAAGGCGGAUGUACGGUACAGCAGUCUUUCAACUGACAGUAUUAGUUAUUGAUCAGGCUAUGCAGUUUAAGUUGAAAUUCCUAGGCCAACCCACAUUUUACAGGGAUAAUUUUAUACCCAAUUUUUUAUUCGGGGAGGGGACGGGGAAAAUUUUUUACCCAAUUUUUUAUUCGGGGAGGGGAGGGGGAUGAGGUGGAAUCCCCAUCCUCUACCCAUUUCCCCAUUUUAAUUUUUAAUUUAAUUUUUAUUUUUAAAAUUACUAAUAAAUAAAUAACAAAAUUAUAAAUAUUGUUAAAAAUAAUAAAUAUCAAAAUAUUUAUAUUAUUAAAUGCUAAUAGGUAUCCUACAUUAGCUCGAAUUGCUAGAGAUAUUUUGGCAAUUCCAAUUACAACAGUUGCUUCUGAAUCAGCUUUUAGCACCGGUGGUAGAGUUGUGAGCCCACACCGUAACAAACUUCAUCCAAGCACAUUGGAGGCCUUAAUGUGCUGUCAAAGUUGGUUACGAGCUUACAAUAACAGUAUGAGUUUAUUUUACAUUGUGAUUAUAUUAUACAGUUAUUAAUAUUUGCACUUAUAAGUUACUUUACUUAUAUUAUUUUCAUUGUUUUAUAAUUAUUUUAAUAAUUUAUAUUUUGAAUGUGACUUUGUAAUGGAUCAAUAUUAAUGUAAGAUAUAUUUUGAACUUUAUUUUUAUCUGAAUUUUUUAUUUUAAUAUGAUUAAUUUAAAAUCGAAAAUAAAAAUAAUGUAUUAGACUAUUAGUUAUUCGGGGACCGGGAACCCUCGGGGAUCCCCUGUUAUUAUUCAGGGAGGGGAUGAAGAUUCUCUCAAGUAAUUCUGACGGGGACGGGGACAUAUGCAAAAUAUCGAGGAUGGGUAUGGGGAGAUUGGUCCCCUCCCCUCCCCUCCCCAUUGCCAUCCCUACUCAAAUACAAGCUUUUAGCGCGGCAUGCAAAAUAACCCCGUUUAAAUCUAAUCACACCUCUCUAUUUUUUUUUUUGGGAAAAUGACACAUAGACCCUCAAUGUUUGAAUAAGGGACACAGAGACUCCCAGCGUUUGAAUAAGGGACACAAAACCCCCUAAUGUUUUAAAAAAGACACUCAGACCCCCAUUUGUUAACAGAAAUUAUAAUUUUAAAGUGCAAUUACCAUUAUACCCUUAUAGCAUAUUAAAAAAUAAUUGUUCAUUGUCCAAUUUAUUCCUAUAUUAUUAAUAAAAUUACGAAUAUAACUUCAUUAUCCAAUUUUUCCAUUUAAUUUUUGUCAAAUUUUCUCUUCAACUAAAUAAAUUUAAUCAAUUGCUCAAGAAUAAAAAUAAAUUAAAUUGAUUACUAAUAUAAUAAAAAUAACAAUUCUCAAUAACAAUUCUCCAUUUAAACUUAUAUAAUCAACAAAAUAAAAAAAAAAUUGGUUACAACAAUAAUUACAAAAUCUUAAUUGUACUAAAUAACAUAUUCAAUAGAUUGAUAUAUGGAGAAUUUUUAUUUUUAUUAUAUUAAUAAUCAAUUUAAUUUAUUUUUAUUCUUGAGUAAUGGAUUAAAUUUAUUUAGUUUGAAGAGAAAAUUUGACAAAAAUUAAAUGGAAAAAUUGGGUAAUUAAGUUAUAUUCGUAAUUUUAUUAAUAAUAUAGGAAUAAAUUGGACAAUGAACAAUUAUUUUUUAAUAUGCUAUAAGGGUAUAAUGGUAAUUGCACUUUAAAAUUAUAAUUUCUGUUAACAAAUGGAGGUCUGUGUGUCUUUUUUGAAAUAUUAGGGAAUUUUGUGUCCCUUAUUCAAACGUUGGGAGUUUCUGUGUCCCUUAUUCAAACACUGGGGUCUCUGUAUCCUUUUCACUUUUUUUUUUCGCCCCAAAGACGUAAUGGAGUAGUCAAAGAGUAUAACCAUUAGAUUCCUUUCGCUUCUUUGCUUUUUUCACCCCCACUUUCUGAGAAGACCAAGACUUGCUUUUGGAAUACAUAUAAAUAAAUCCGGGGGAGCUGGAAGUUGCAUUUUUGUUUUCCCUUUGAAUCAAAACACUUCAUCGGAGUUGAUCAGAUCAAUUUGGUGGCUUCUUUCAACACACUCAAAGCUGUAAGUUUUAUUUUAUCCUCAGAAUUAAUUUGCACAUUCUGGACGUUUAGAACAGGAAAUAUAUAAAAUUGAAAGAAAGCUUUGAAUGUUUAAAUUAAUUUGUAUAGUAUCAACUCUUUAAUUUGCUUCUCUUUGAGGCUCUAAUUAAGAUUUGCUUGAGUAAAGGUCGGCAAACACACUAUCCAAUCAGAAUCUGAGAAACUUUUUAAUUAUAUUUUGGAAGUAAAUGAGAGGCUGUUAUUAUAUUUUGGAAGUAAAUGAGAGGCUGUUCAUUAGUUUGUUUAGUUAAGAAGAAGAUCAUUACUUUGUUAUUCAAUAAUUCUGUGCUAAAAGAAAUGAUCAUAGUUAUUAUAUUAUAUUAUAUUAUUUUCAUUUUUGUGCUGCCCAUAAUCUUGAAUGAAUCUUAUUGUUUGCAUGGUAUUUUACGCUCACUGGAUUUCACUUGAUUUAUUCUAAAUUUUUAGGAACAAAUUAAUAUAAUGGCUUCCACGAGCUUCCAAAAUGUCUCUCAUGGGGAAUACGAUGCCUUCUUAAGCUUUAGAGGAGAAGACACUCGUAAAAGGUUCAUAGGUCAUCUCUAUACUGCUUUGAACAAUAAAGGAAUUUAUGUAUUCAGGGAUGACAAACAACUUGAGAAAGGAGGAUCCAUUUCACCAAAUCUCCUUAAAACAAUUGAAGAAUCGAGAAUUUCAAUUAUUGUUCUCUCAAAAAAUUACGCUUCUUCCACUUGGUGCUUGGAUGAACUUCUUAAGAUUGUUGAAUGCAAAAAUAGAGAGGAUCAAAUUUUUCCAAUUUUUUAUGAAGUGGAACCAACUGUUGUAAGAAAACAAACAGCAAGUUUCGGAGAAGCUUUUGCUAAAUAUGAAGAAUUUUUCAGGGAUAAUAUAGAAAAAGUGCAAAAGUGGAGAUACGCUUUAAAGGUGGUGGCCAAUAUAUCAGGCUGGGAAUUGAAGGAUAGGUAAUCAUUCUUUUUCUCAACUAUUAAUUUUGUUUGUCUUGCAAGAUUAGUAACUACAAAACAGAUUUUAAUAUUCAUUCAACACUGUUUUCAAUUAAACAACUUCUAUUUAAUACAUAUGCAUAUCGUAUGAUGUGUAGUAAAAGGGUUCCUCCCGUGAAUUGAAUAUUUUUAAAUUAUACCUUCACUUUUGAAAACUUCAAUUUACCUCCCAUUUUUGUUAAGAAUACAAAAACAUUUCAUCAACUCACCCCAUUUUUCCUUCUCUUUUGAAAAAAAAAUAGGGUAAUUGAGGUUGUUCAAAAGGGAGUGAUUUGAAGAUAUUCAAAUCACGAGGAGAAUAAUCUAAAUUUUAUGAAUGAAUUAAUAUUUGCAAACAAAGAGAUAUGGACAUUGAUAUGUUGAAUUAUUGUAUUUUGAACUUUUCAUGACUAAAAGUUUUUAUGUUGUGAUGCUUUGUGCUAUCAGUUUUGCAAAAAAAAAAAAAAGUAAAAUAAAACUUUAUUCUUAGAUUAUUGCCCAAGCUUAGGCAUCUCAAUAUAAUGAUUUAAGCUUGUGAUUAUAAUUUUAGUCCAAAUUUAUUUACUGGAUUAAUCUAUCCCCAUCCUUGCUUGCAAAUUGCUCUGUUUUGUGUCAUUUUCUAUUUAUUUUAAUAUAAUUUUCUUCUAUGAAUUGACUCUUGACCUAGAUUGCAAAAUACUAAUAAUAACAAUGGCAAUAAUCGCAAUACGAAUGAUAUCAAUACGAUCACAUAUUUAGCUAAUCUAAUUGAUUUAAAUUGUCUUUUAAACUAACUCAUCCUGUUGUAGAAAGAAAUAAUAUAUAAAUUUUGAAAUUACCAAUCACAAUGCAACCCAGUCCAAUCCAAUUUUUAUUGGGUUGGGUUUGAAUUUCGCAUUCCAAUUGUUGUUGACUGAUGUAAUAAUAUCAUAUUAUUUAAUUAUAUGACUUCAAUUUGAUGAAAUGAAUAUUGCAUAGUUUGGAUUUUAUUCAUAAUAUGGAAUUGAUUUGUUACUCGUUCAUACUAACUUUGAUUUAACAAUACCAAUCUUUUCUUGUUGUUUUCAAUAUGCAGGAAUGAGUCAGAAUUUAUUGAGGAAAUUGUCAAUGUCAUAUCUAGUAAAAUUCGUUCAGAACCAGAGAUUCUUAAGGAGCUAGUAGGAAUGGAAUCACGCUUGGAGAAACUGAGGUUUCUUAUGGGUACGGGGUCUAAUGAUGUUCGUAUGAUCGGGAUAUGGGGUAUGGGAGGUCUAGGAAAGACAACUCUUGCAAGGGUUGUUUAUGACUUGAUGUCUCAUGAGUUUGAUGGGAGUAGUUUUCUUGCCGAUGUUAGAGAAAAAUUUGAAAAAGAAGGCAGUGAAAUCUCUUUACAAAAAGAAGUGCCCUAGAAAGACUAAAAAAAGAUCCUUCAAAUAAGAUUAUGAGUAUACUUCAAAUAAGUUUUGAAGGACUACUAGAUUCAGAGAAGAAAAUAUUUCUCGAUGUUGCAUGUUUCUUUAAAUGGAAGAAUAGAGAUGGUGUAACAAAAAUUCUAGAGGGAUGUGGUUUUUCCCCAGUCAUUGGAAUAGAAGUUCUUAUCGAAAAGUCUCUAUUAACUGUUGAUGAUGACAACACACUGGGGAUGCAUGAUUUGUUACAGGAAUUGGGACACCUGAUUGUUACAAGACAAUCCCCCGAAGAACCUGGGAAACGUAGCAGAAUAUGGAGGGAAGAAGAAGUGCGCCAGGUGUUGACAAACAAUACGGUAAGUGAAUUAUUAAAUGGAAAACUUGUUGAUGCUUGCUACUUUAUUUUUCCCAAUUAUAUCUCUGACGAAUUUUCAACAUCUUUACAUUAUUGUUUUAACUACUUAUUGUUUGCUUAUAAUUUUUAGGGAGGUGAAGUAGUGGAAGGAAUAAUAGUUAAUGCCUGCUUUCCUGAAGAUGAGGUUUACUUAAGUGCAAGUGCUAAAGCAUUUUUGCAGAUGACCAACAUAAGACUGCUCAAAAUCAGUAAUGUACAACUUCCUGAAGGCCUAGUAUACCUCUCUAACAGGUUGCAAUUACUUGAUUGGCAUCGGUAUCCUUUGAAAUCUUUGCCAUCAAAUUUGCAAUUGGAUAAAACUGUUGAUCUUAAAAUGUGCUACAACCGCAUUGAAGAAUUAUGGAAGGGAAUCAAAGUAAGAUCAAUUUUUUUUUUUUGGUCACUAAUUUAUAUUUUUCAGUGAAUAAUUGUUGAUAACAAUUUAUUAUUAUAGUAGUAUAUGAAUUAAGAAAUAUCAUUUUAGCUCCUUUUUUGUUUUCAACAGCCUUUAAACAUGUUGAGAGUCUUGAAACUCAGCCAUUCGGAGAAUCUGAUUAAGACACCAGACUUCACAAAGGUCCCAAACUUAGAGGUGUUGGAUCUUGAAGGAUGUACAAGGUUGCGUGAAAUUCACCAGUCUUUGCUACGUCACAAUAAGCUGAUCUUGUUGAAUUUGAAAGGCUGUACAAGUCUUACAACUCUUCCAGGCAAGAUUUUUAUGGAAUCUCUUAAAACGCUGGUUCUAUCUGGUUGCUCAAAAUUGAAGAAAUUUCCGGACAUUGUAGGAGGUAUGGAGUGUCUGCAGGAACUUCGUGUAGAUGGAACUGAUAUCAAAGAACUGCCGGUGUCAAUUGAGCUUAUGUCUGGCCUUGUUUCGUUGAAUUUGAAAGAUUGCAGAAAUCUCACGACUCUUCCAAUUACAAUAGGCAAUUUAGAGUGUCUACAAACGCUCGUGCUAUCUGGUUGCUCGAAAAUAGUGAAAUUUCCAGAGACUGUGAUAAGUGUGGAAGAUCUGUCAGAGCUCUUUUUAGAUAGAACUUCUAUCACAGAAGUGCCAUCAUCUAUAGAGCUUUUGACCAAACUUCAAUGGUUGAAUUUGAAUGACUGCAGAAGUCUCGUGAGACUUCCUAGCAGUAUAAAUGGUUUGAAAUCCCUCAAAACUUUGAAAUCCGGUGGCUUUGAGUUUUCCGUCUUCUCUGUCAGGUUUGUGUAGUUUAACGAAAUUGGAUAUCAGUGACUGUGAUCUAGGGGAAGGAGCAAUCCCAAGUAGUAUUGGCGACUUAUGCUCAUUAGAAGAGUUACAUCUGAGUGGAAACAAUUUUUUUACGCUGCCGGCAAGCAUCUACCGUCUUUCUAGUCUUUUGGGCAUUGAUUUAAAAGAAUGCAAAAUGCUUCAAAAUCUGCCCCGACUUCCAGCCAGUAUACAUUGGAUUUCGUUAAACGGUUGUGUUUCGUUGGAGACAUUAUCAGAUGUAUUAAAUUUAAACGAGCAUCAACUCCCGCACUUAAUCCUUAAUUGUGUGGAUUGCUUGAAAUUGGCUGGCAACUAUGAUUUGGCGCUUUCACUGCUGAAAGAGUACAUUAAAAAUUCUGAGGUCAGUCUCUCACUCUCACCUGUGCUAACAUUACGCCUAAAACUGAUGCAAUACAUGUUAUGUCUUUUUAUUUUAUUUAUUUACUCACUUUUUUUUUUCCGUGGGGUUACAGAAUAUGUCACUGUCGGACAAGUACAUUAAACAUGUAACGUCAGUUUCUUACACUCUCUCACCUGUCGCUAAAAUUAUGCCUAAAAAUUAGGCAUUGGUAUGGCUUUCUAAUAUAUAUAUAUAUUGUGGGGUUUCAGGGCCCUUGGAGAGAUUUUUGCAUUGUUGUUCCUGGAAGUGAAAUCCCAGAGUGGUUCGAGUAUCAGAAUAAUGAGGGUUCUUCAAUAACAAUAAGCACGCCUCCAAAGACGUAUAAGAAUAGUAAGCUUGUGGGAUAUGCUAUGUGCUGUGUUUUUCAUGUCCCUAAAUAUUCACUUCCUUUGGAUAAAACUGUUGAUCUUAAAAUGUGCUACAACCGCAUUGAAGAAUUAUGGAAGGGAAUCAAAGUAAGAUCAAUUUUUUUUUUUUGGUCACUAAUUUAUAUUUUUCAGUGAAUAAUUGUUGAUAACAAUUUAUUAUUAUAGUAGUAUAUGAAUUAAGAAAUAUCAUUUUAGCUCCUUUUUUGUUUUCAACAGCCUUUAAACAUGUUGAGAGUCUUGAAACUCAGCCAUUCGGAGAAUCUGAUUAAGACACCAGACUUCACAAAGGUCCCAAACUUAGAGGUGUUGGAUCUUGAAGGAUGUACAAGGUUGCGUCAAAUUCACCAGUCUUUGCUACGUCACAAUAAGCUGAUCUUGUUGAAUUUGAAAGGCUGUACAAGUCUUACAACUCUUCCAGGCAAGAUUUUUAUGGAAUCUCUUAAAACGCUGGUUCUAUCUGGUUGCUCAAAAUUGAAGAAAUUUCCGGACAUUGUAGGAGGUAUGGAGUGUCUGCAGGAACUUCGUUUAGAUGGAACUGAUAUCAAAGAACUGCCUUUAUCUAUUGAGCUUCUAUCCAAACUUGUCUUGUUGGAUCUAAACAAUUGUAAGAAUCUCAAGAGUCUCCCAAGGAACAUAAGUGGACUAAAAUCUCUGUCAACUUUGAAUCUCUCUGGCACUUCAAAAUUCAGGGAGUUUCCGGAGAUUACAGGACGCAUGGAGCAUCUGUCGAACCUUCAUUUGGAGGGAACUGCUAUUAGAGAAUUGCCAGUGUCAAUUGAACUUCUUUCUGGCCUUGUUUUGUUGAAUUUGAAGGAUUGCAGAAAUCUCUCGACUCUUCCAAUUACUGUAAGCAGCUUAAAAUGUCUAAGAACUCUAAAGCUCUCUGGUUGCUCGAAAAUAGUGAAAUUUCCAGAGAGUGUGAUAAGUAUGGAAGAUCUAUCAGAGCUCUUUUUAGAUAGAACUUCUAUUACAGAAGUGCCAUCAUCUAUAGAACUUUUGACCAAGGAAACAAUUUUUUUACGCUGCCGGCAAGCAUUAACCGUCUUUCUAGUCUUCGGAGGAUUGAAUUAGAGGAAUGCAAAAUGCUUCAAACUCUUCCUCGACUUCCAGCCAGUAUACAUGUGAUUUUGUUAGACGGUUGUGUUUCGUUGGAGACAUUAUCAGAUGUAUUAAAUUUAAACGAGCAUCAACUCCCGCACUUAAUCCUUAAUUGUGUGGAUUGCUUGAAAUUGGCUGGCAACUAUGAUUUGGCGCUUUCACUGCUGAAAGAGUACAUUAAAAAUUCUGAGGUCAGUCUCUCACUCUCACCUGUGCUAACAUUAUGCCUAAAACUUAUGCAAUACAUGUUAUGUCUUUUACUCACUUUUUUUUUUCCGUGGGGUUGCAGAAUAUGUCACUGUCGGACAAGUACAUUAAACAUGUAACGUCAGUUUCUUACACUCUCUCACCUGUCGCUAAAAUUAUGCCUAAAAAUUAGGCAUUGGUAUGGCUUUCUAAUAUAUAUAUAUAUUGUGGGGUUUCAGGGCCCUUGGAGAGAUUUUUGCAUUGUUGUUCCUGGAAGUGAAAUCCCAGAGUGGUUCGAGUAUCAGAAUAAUGAGGGUUCUUCAAUAACAAUAAGCACGCCUCCAAAGACGUAUAAGAAUAGUAAGCUUGUGGGAUAUGCUAUGUGCUGUGUUUUUCAUGUCCCUAAAUAUUCACUUCCUUAUUAUAUACGACCGGUUCCAUAUUCACUUCCUUCAAUAACAAUAAGCACGCCUGCCGACGUGAAACGUGUUGGAAUUUUGUUUAGAAAGCAAUUCGGUCAGGCAAUGUCAGACCAUCUUUUCCUAUACUACCUGAAAAGGGAACGUAUUAGUAAAGUGGAAUUUUCUUCGCGGUCGGGAUUGGAGUUGAAGAGGUGUGGUUUGCAUCCAAUCUACGUGCAUGAAGGGGAUAAGUUCAACCAAACAAUUGGUCCAGUUUGGAAUUUGAACGAAUUUGGUCACGAUUGUUCUGGUAUCUAAUUUCAACAUCCUUUACGCGUAGCCUUAACGAUGACUUAGACAGGGCAGAAGCCAGUGGAAGUUGCAGCGGGGAUGAUGCAGGAUCAACGACGUCGUCUGAGCGAAGCUUUCUAAAGCGAAGUCUUGAAGGAUAUGUUGGGGCGGCUGAAGCUAGUGGAAAUGGCUGCUGUAAUGAUGAUGAGGAACCACAACCUAAAAGAUUUAGACAACUCGAAUGAAGGGCACAUAUUUUAUUUUUCUCUGCAGAUCGCAUUUCAUUUACUUUCUUUNNNNNNNNNNNNNNNNNNNNNNNNNNNNCUUAAUGGUUAAACAAACACACUUAUACAAAAAUAAUUUCAAUUAGCAAAAGAAUAAUAAAAAGAAAGAAAAAAAAUUAUUUGAAUUUAACGUGGAUGCGGUUGAAGAACAUGGAUCAAUUAUGAUGAAUGCUCCACCACUUAAGUCUUAAUUAAUUAGCCAGAUCAAAAACAUUCUGUUAAGACUUGUAAAUAACAUUCAACAUUUUGUGGAUUUUUGGACUCAAAUAUUUUAAGAGAGAUAGAAAAUUAAUGAAAGUAUUUGGUAUUGGAUUUGAUUAUCACGUCAGGAUUAACAGUUAAAAUAAAAUCUCUUGCUAUAACUACUUAUCUUUUUACAUAUUUGAAUACUUGAAAGUCACCGAUAGAAUCAAUAUAAGUAUAUUUCUUCUGGAUUCUUCCUAGAUAAAUAUGCUUAAAUUUCUUGUUCCAAGAAGAAAAGGUAUUAUGUAAUCUUGGCAAAUACAAACACCAAGAAAAUUUUUUGAACAUGUCAAAGUAACAUAUGGCUGGUUAAGAACUCGAUCAACCUAAAAGUAUUUAUUUAAUCUUAGGGUGAUUGAAAAAAAUUUGACGAAUUACCAUUAAACAAGUAACAAAAUAACAAAUUCUUUUAAAAGAAAUUAUAUAAUAGAAAGAAGAAAUUAUCACAUAAAAAGGCAGCAUUCAAGACAUGCACAAUAAAAAAACUGAUAAAAUUUACAUAUUGAAAAAAAUUUGACGAAUUACCAUUAAACAAGUAACAAAAUAACAAAUUCUUUUAAAAGAAAUUAUAUAAUAGAAAGAAGAAAUUAUCACAUAAAAAAAAUGUUCCAGUUUUUGCCUUUAGCCUCUCCUCCCCAAGUUGUCGGGCAUGGACUUGCUUUCGCUUCCGAAAGGAAAAAAUAAAAUAAACAUAUGUAUAUUAAAAUAAUUUUAAUCUUCAAAAAAUAUUAUAAUACUUUACAGUAUUAUAUUAUAUUAAACUAAAUUUUAUAAUGGAUAUAACCAUAAUAUUAAAAUAAAUAUAUAAAGAUUCAAUUAUUUUAAAUUUAUAUAAAAUAAUUUUAAUAUUAUCAAUACAUGAGAUAUUUUUUAUUAGUUGUAAAAUCUAUUUAACCCAAAUAUUUAUUUAAAAAUUAUGUAAUAGAUAAAAAGAUAUUAUUAAAAUAAUAUUAUAGUUUACAUUUUAAAAAUUAUUUUAUACAUAUUACAAAUAUUCCAUUAUUUUUAGUCUAUUAGACAAAAUAAACUAUUUAAAGUAUAUUUGUAUUUAUUAAAAAUAUUUUAACGUUAAUUUUUUCAAAGUUACUACCUAUGUAGGGUAUUAUAGCCAAAAGGGAGUUUAGGUAUCCUUUUGCUUUUAAGUUAUUUUAUCUUAAAUUUUUAAUAAAAAAUUGAAAUUAUUGAUUUCACGCAAUUCAGUGACUAUGGUGGAUGAUUUAACAUCGUAAAAUUUUACAUUGACUUUUAAUAUUAACCAUUAGAUUAUGAGAGAUUAAUGGCUCAUUUUUUGUGUCAAAAUUUAAAUUAAAAUAUCCAAAACCAUGCUUUUAUAACGAGAAUAUAAAAUAAAUAGAUAAUAUUUCAUGAAUAUUAUUGGAGGUAAUAUUUACUUAUUAUAUUAAUUACCAUCAUAAAUGCAAUCAGCCUCUUAGUGACAUAAAAUUUUGUAACCACAAUCAAUGAAUAUCAAUAAAACAAUCUUUCAUGAUUCAUAAACUAUAUAGCUAAUUAAGAAUUUAUGUUAAUUUCAACUUUACGAAAUCAACAAAGUGAUAUUGGAAAAUUAAAUGAAAAUAGGCUUGUAAAACUUAAACUUAUAUUCCUACCAUAUAAAAGUAUUCACUGUAACAUAAUCCAUAAUUUCAUGGUAUAGGUUAUGCUAAAUUGAUGUGAAAAAUAAUAUACACUUCAUGAUUAAUCAUUCAAUAGUCCUUAAUAAUAUACAAAAUAGUGAGCAUUAUGUUAAAUUUUAUUAAAGCAUGAAAAAGGUGAAGAAUGACAGAGGCAGCAGCUGCAGACAGUGGACGUGAGGUGGCUUCGGGUUUUGCUAUUUUUCUAACUUUUUCUUCUUUUUUUUUUUUUUAUGAAAGCAAUGGAUGAUGGAGGGAGGAUUUGUGUAUGGGGAAUGGUUGAUGGUCAGGAAAGCUCUGCCUAAUACAAAGAAAGACUUUGAUACCACUUGACGCAUCGCAGAAGACACUAAAUUUCAUUAUAACAUACGUUCUUAAAAAUUCAAGAAAAAAAGGCUCUUACGAAGAACAAAGUAUCUCAAUUAAGAAAUAUUAAAUAUUAUUGAUGAGAAGCUUAUGUAUGUUAUAAAGAACUAUCAGUAAGAAGCCUAUAUAUACUAAGUAGCCAACUUAAUCUUAAUCCUUCUUAAAUAAAAUAAAUAAUUUAAAAUCCUAAUUAGAUUAGAAUUCCAAACACGAUCGAAUAAAUUUAAAAAAUAAGAUAAAUUCUAAUAAAAUACUAAAUACUCAAAUAUUAUAAUUCCUAAUAAAUUCUAAUUUAUUUUAUAUAAUAUGCUUCCUACAUUACUUCAUCGCUAUAUUGUCUGAAUCGAUAUCUCUUUUUACACUAGUAAAAAAAUGGCCUCCUUUGAUACUAUUUUGGUAUCAAGAACUUGUUUUACUGACACCGAGUUUAGUGUCACUGAAUACGGUGCAAGAAACUUACUGACACGAGUUUUUUGUAUCAGCGAAUCUAUGUCACCGUAGUAUCAAAAAAAUAUUGAUGCUUGAACAUCACAUAUAUAACGAGACUAUGGUAUCAAACAAAUAAUGAUACAAAAGCAUAAUAAAUAUAACGAUACUUUGGUAUCAAUGUUUAUUUGAGAAAAAUUAAAAAAAAUUAGAAAUCCAUAUAAUAUAAAUUGAACAUUUGCAAUUGGCAUUUGAAUUGAAAUUUACAUUCAUCAAUAUGAAAACUAUUACAUUGCAAUGAACAAUUUAAAAAUUAUUACAUUGUUUGAAACUUAUUACAUUGUUUACCAACUACAAAUAAUUUAUAAUCUGAUAUAUAGUAACAGCACAAUCUUCCAACACAUGUUUAUUGCUUCGCGGAUUCUUUCUUUCGGUAAUCGAAAUGAGGUCUUCUAUUAUUGUUUCCAUGUUCCAAUUUGACAUUUGCUCUGAUUAUUUAGUUUUGACCCACAUACAUGCUUUGGUUUAUUGUAAGUCAUCCGGCAGCAUUCAAGACAUGCACAAUAAAAAAACUGAUAAAAUUUACAUGCUGCAAUCUACAUAGUUUCCUAAUGGCAUAUAAAUGCAUGCAAGACAAGGAUAUUAUAUUAACAAUAAAAAUUAUUUUAACCGUUGUCCAAGAAAAAGAGGAGAAAUUAUUAACAACAUCAUGAGAGGAAGUCUAACAAUACAGUCAAACAAACAAAAGAAAACCCAUGCUUGGUUGUAUAACAAGCAUGGAAAGUUCAACACAAACACAAACACAGAGACCAAUGGAGUUAACCAAAGUAAUGAAGGAAUUUCUGUGCAACUGUCAGUGGACACACAGAGCAAUGUGUGCAUAUGAGCACGCACAAACAUGACAUUCAAGUGAAUAAAUUUAAAAUAUUAUAUCUGGCAAUUAAAUCAACACAAACAUGAGAAAGAAUAGAUCCAAUAAGGUAAAUCUAGACAACAAUGAUCAAAAAGCAACAAGACAAAAUUUGAGAAACAAAAGGUGAAAAUAAAAAUACCAGGCAUUUACUCCAGUAGCACCAUGGAUCAUAAAAAUUGACAGCUAAAAUAGGAUAC